AGUAUGGGAUAGCCACUAGAAAUGGUGGGUAAUACUGUAUAAUCCCUGCGGGGGAAAGAUUUAUCGCUAUUAGAUGAGCCUAUGUCAGAUUAGCUAGUUGGUGGGGUAAUGGCCUACCAAGGCGGUGAUCUGUAGCUGGUCUGAGAGGAUGAUCAGCCACACUGGAACUGAGACACGGUCCAGACUCCUACGGGAGGCAGCAGUGGGGAAUAUUGGACAAUGGGCGCAAGCCUGAUCCAGCUAUGCCGCGUGAGUGAGGAAGGCCUUAGGGUUGUAAAACUCUUUCAGUAGGGAAGAUAAUG
Molecule: ribosomal RNA, 302 nt
Filed under: Anaplasma marginale
Lineage: Bacteria; Pseudomonadati; Pseudomonadota; Alphaproteobacteria; Rickettsiales; Anaplasmataceae
Description: bacterial SSU rRNA
Rfam family: Bacterial small subunit ribosomal RNA
Source: RNAcentral